RNAcentral lists this ribosomal RNA (511 nucleotides) under Candida albicans. Its description in RNAcentral is "eukaryotic LSU rRNA". The stretch from base 144 to 297 matches the Rfam family "5.8S ribosomal RNA". Lineage: Eukaryota; Fungi; Ascomycota; Pichiomycetes; Serinales; Debaryomycetaceae. The record is from RNAcentral.
CCCUCGUUUUUUGCUUAUUGCCCCACAUGUGUUUUUCUUUGAAACAAACUUGCUUUGGCGGUGGGCCCAGCCUGCCGCCAGAGGUCUAAACUUACAACCAAUUUUUUAUCAACUUGUCACACCAGAUUAUUACUAAUAGUCAAAACUUUCAACAACGGAUCUCUUGGUUCUCGCAUCGAUGAAGAACGCAGCGAAAUGCGAUACGUAAUAUGAAUUGCAGAUAUUCGUGAAUCAUCGAAUCUUUGAACGCACAUUGCGCCCUCUGGUAUUCCGGAGGGCAUGCCUGUUUGAGCGUCGUUUCUCCCUCAAACCGCUGGGUUUGGUGUUGAGCAAUACGACUUGGGUUUGCUUGAAAGACGGUAGUGGUAAGGCGGGAUCGCUUUGACAAUGGCUUAGGUCUAACCAAAAACAUUGCUUGCGGCGGCAACGUCUACCACGUAUAUCUUCAAACUUUGACCUCAAAUCAGGUAGGACUACCCGCUGAACUUAAGCAUAUCAAUAAGCGGAGGAA